GACGAACGCUGGCGGCGUGCUUAACACAUGCAAGUCGAACGGAAAGGCCCUUCGUGGUACGCGAGCGAGGAACGGGUGAGUAACACGUGCGUAACCUGCCCCAGCCUUUGGCUUAACCCUCGGUAACGGGGGCUAAUACCGAAUACGAAUCAGUUUUGCACGUGGUCUGUGGGGGAAGUUUUUCGGUUUGGGAUGGGCUCGCGGCCGAUCAGCUUGUUGGUGGGGUGAUGGCCUACCAAGGCGACGACGGGUAGCCGGCCUGGGUGGGCGACCGGCCACACUGGGACUGAGACACGGCCCAGACUCCUACGGGAGGCAGCAGUGGGGAAUAUUGCACAAUGGGCGGAAGCCUGAUGCAGCGACGCCGCGUGAGGGAUGACGGCCUUCGGGUUGUAAACCUCUUUCAGCAGGGACGAAGCGUAAGUGACGGUACCUGCAGAAGAAGCGCCGGCUAACUACGUG
RNAcentral lists this ribosomal RNA (462 nucleotides) under uncultured bacterium. Its description in RNAcentral is "partial 16S ribosomal RNA". It matches the Rfam family "Bacterial small subunit ribosomal RNA", at positions 28 to 507 of the family's 1533-position model. The record is from RNAcentral.